This 253-nucleotide ribosomal RNA is filed under the name uncultured bacterium. RNAcentral describes it as "partial 16S ribosomal RNA". It matches the Rfam family "Bacterial small subunit ribosomal RNA", at positions 524 to 776 of the family's 1533-position model. The record is from RNAcentral.
UACAGAGGUCCCAAGCGUUGUUCGGAUUCACUGGGCGUAAAGGGUGCGUAGGCGGUUUGACAAGUCUGAUGUGAAAUCCCGCAGCUUAACUGCGGAACUGCAUUGGAAACUGUUUGACUAGAGGAAUGGAGGGGAGACUGGAAUACUUGGUGUAGCAGUGAAAUGCGUAGAUAUCAAGUGGAACACCAGUGGCGAAGGCGAGUCUCUGGACAUUUCCUGACGCUGAGGCACGAAAGCCAGAGGAGCAAACGGG